GUUCGAUUCCUGGUGUGAGCA
Molecule: transfer RNA, 21 nt
Filed under: Entamoeba moshkovskii
Lineage: Eukaryota; Evosea; Mastigamoebida; Endamoebidae
Description: tRNA-His
Source: RNAcentral